AAACCAUGCACCGAAGCUGCGGCAGCGACGCUGAUGCGUUGUUGGGUAGGGGAGCGUUCUGUAAGCCUGCGAAGGUGGCCUGUGAGGGUUGCUGGAGGUAUCAGAAGUGCGAAUGCUGACAUAAGUAACGAUAAAGCGGGUGAAAAGCCCGCUCGCCGGAAGACCAAGGGUUCCUGUCCAACGUUAAUCGGGGCAGGGUGAGUCGACCCCUAAGGCGAGGCCGAAAGGCGUAGUCGAUGGGAAACGGGUUAAUAUUCCCGUACUUGGUGUUACUGCGAAGGGGGGACGGAGAAGGCUAUGUUGGCCGGGCGACGGUUGUCCCGGUUUAAGCGUGUAGGUGUGUGUUCCAGGUAAAUCCGGUUCACUUUAACACUGAGGCGUGACGACGAGGCACUACGGUGCUGAAGCAACAAAUGCCCUGCUUCCAGGAAAAGCCUCUAAGCAUCAGGUAACAUCAAAUCGUACCCCAAACCGACACAGGUGGUCAGGUAGAGAAUACCAAGGCGCUUGAGAGAACUCGGGUGAAGGAACUAGGCAAAAUGGUGCCGUAACUUCGGGAGAAGGCACGCUGACACGUAGGUGAAGUGAUUUACUCAUGGAGCUGAAGUCAGUCGAAGAUACCAGCUGGCUGCAACUGUUUAUUAAAAACACAGCACUGUGCAAACACGAAAGUGGACGUAUACGGUGUGACGCCUGCCCGGUGCCGGAAGGUUAAUUGAUGGGGUCAGCGCAAGCGAAGCUCCUGAUCGAAGCCCCGGUAAACGGCGGCCGUAACUAUAACGGUCCUAAGGUAGCGAAAUUCCUUGUCGGGUAAGUUCCGACCUGCACGAAUGGCGUAAUGAUGGCCAGGCUGUCUCCACCCGAGACUCAGUGAAAUUGAACUCGCUGUGAAGAUGCAGUGUACCCGCGGCAAGACGGAAAGACCCCGUGAACCUUUACUAUAGCUUGACACUGAACAUUGAGCCUUGAUGUGUAGGAUAGGUGGGAGGCUUUGAAGUGUGGACGCCAGUCUGCAUGGAGCCGACCUUGAAAUACCACCCUUUAAUGUUUGAUGUUCUAACGUGGACCCGUGAUCCGGGUUGCGGACAGUGUCUGGUGGGUAGUUUGACUGGGGCGGUCUCCUCCUAAAGAGUAACGGAGGAGCACGAAGGUUGGCUAAUCCUGGUCGGACAUCAGGAGGUUAGUGCAAUGGCAUAAGCCAGCUUGACUGCGAGCGUGACGGCGCGAGCAGGUGCGAAAGCAGGUCAUAGUGAUCCGGUGGUUCUGAAUGGAAGGGCCAUCGCUCAACGGAUAAAAGGUACUCCGGGGAUAACAGGCUGAUACCGCCCAAGAGUUCAUAUCGACGGCGGUGUUUGGCACCUCGAUGUCGGCUCAUCACAUCCUGGGGCUGAAGUAGGUCCCAAGGGUAUGGCUGUUCGCCAUUUAAAGUGGUACGCGAGCUGGGUUUAGAACGUCGUGAGACAGUUCGGUCCCUAUCUGCCGUGGGCGCUGGAGAACUGAGGGGGGCUGCUCCUAGUACGAGAGGACCGGAGUGGACGCAUCACUGGUGUUCGGGUUGUCAUGCCAAUGGCACUGCCCGGUAGCUAAAUGCGGAAGAGAUAAGUGCUGAAAGCAUCUAAGCACGAAACUUGCCCCGAG
RNAcentral lists this ribosomal RNA (1638 nucleotides) under Salmonella enterica. RNAcentral's name for it is "partial 23S ribosomal RNA". It matches the Rfam family "Bacterial large subunit ribosomal RNA", at positions 1184 to 2803 of the family's 2925-position model. The record is from RNAcentral. Lineage: Bacteria; Pseudomonadati; Pseudomonadota; Gammaproteobacteria; Enterobacterales; Enterobacteriaceae.